UGCCUGGCGGCUGUAGCGCGGUGGUCCCACCUGACCCCAUGCCGAACUCAGAAGUGAAACGCCGUAGCGCCGAUGGUAGUGUGGGGUCUCCCCAUGCGAGAGUAGGGAACUGCCAGGCUU
This 120-nucleotide ribosomal RNA is filed under the name Citrobacter europaeus. The record is from RNAcentral. Lineage: Bacteria; Pseudomonadati; Pseudomonadota; Gammaproteobacteria; Enterobacterales; Enterobacteriaceae.